CAGCCGCCGCGGGAAAACCAGCAGCCCAAGUGGUGGUCGCGUUUAUUGGGCCUAAAGCGCUCGUAGCCUGACCGGUAAGUUCCCCGUGAAAUCGGGUCGCCCAACGAUUCGGCUUGCGGGGAAUACUGUCGGUCUUGGGGCCGGGAGACGCCGAGGGUACUCCGGGGGUAGCGGUGAAAUGCUGUAAUCCUCGGGGGACUACCAGUGGCGAAGGCGCUCGGCGAUAACGGGCCUGACGGUGAGGGGCGAAAGCUGGGGGCGCGAACGGGAUUAGAUACCCCUGUAGUCCCUGUCUCUUAUA
RNAcentral lists this ribosomal RNA (301 nucleotides) under uncultured bacterium. Its description in RNAcentral is "partial 16S ribosomal RNA". It matches the Rfam family "Archaeal small subunit ribosomal RNA", at positions 459 to 759 of the family's 1478-position model. The record is from RNAcentral.